AGUGAACGCUGGCGGUAGGCCUAACACAUGCAAGUCGAACGGCAGCACAGUAAGAGCUUGCUCUUACGGGUGGCGAAUGGCGGACGGGUGAGGAAUACAUCGGAAUCUACUUUUUCGUGGGGGAUAACGUAGGGAAACUUACGCUAAUACCGCAUACGACCUACGGGUGAAAGCAGGGGAUCUUCGGACCUUGCGCGAUUGAAUGAGCCGAUGUCGGAUUAGCUAGUUGGCGGGGUAAAGGCCCACCAAGGCGACGAUCCGUAGCUGGUCUGAGAGGAUGAUCAGCCACAUUGGAACUGAGACACGGUCCAGACUCCUACGGGAGGCAGCAGUGGGGAAUAUUGGACAAUGGGCGCAAGCCUGAUCCAGCCAUACCGCGUGGGUGAAGAAGGCCUCCGGGUUGUAAAGCCCUUUUGUUGGGAAAGAAAAGCAGCAGGUUAAUACCCCGCUGUUCUGACGGUACCCAAAGAAUAAGCACCGGCUAACUUCGUG
RNAcentral lists this ribosomal RNA (492 nucleotides) under uncultured bacterium. Its description in RNAcentral is "partial 16S ribosomal RNA". It matches the Rfam family "Bacterial small subunit ribosomal RNA", at positions 29 to 507 of the family's 1533-position model. The record is from RNAcentral.